CUACUUUUCCCAUGAAGCUCAGCUCGUCGCUUCCGUGACGUCGUUUGUCCACGUGAGCUUCAUUCAGCUGAGCGCUGCAGAGAUGAAUGGCUGGGGGGGUGGAAGAUGGAAACGCUGGAAAAAUGGAGCAGAGACAUCAUGGAACCUCAUCAGCUGGAUAAGAAAGAGCAGUCCAAACAAAAUGGCAUGAUUGCAAAAUAUCUGCUCAACUCUCUCAAGAUUAGCAAUCGUUUGCAGCUCCAGCUAAUUUCUCGUUCAGCAUGUGCCACUGGCUCCUGUCCAGAUCUGAUGCAUAGGAACGAGCAGCCUGACUCCCGGCCGCUUGCCAUGGCCUUGACACCCCAGCUACCCCCCAGGACCCAUCGGCCCCUGUGUCUCUCAGUGUCCUCUGACAGCAGUGGACGCUUCAAAGCUCUGGAGACCCAGGAAUGGAAGAACAACCUCAAAGCUCAGAUGGAGCAGGCCCAUAGUGCCGGAGCAGCCAGCAGUACAGGUUCCCUUGAAAGAGCGUCUCUCUUUUGUGCUUCUGGCUCCACCACCCCCUCCAGCUCUGGCCUCUCCAGUCCGGUGGAGCACCUCACCAAGAGCAAGUCCUCUAGUCGCUUUUCACUCUUCUCCCCACCUUGGAACAGCAGCUCUGAGUCCGACUCCAAUCCACCUUCCCGCUCCGGAUCCAAGAAAAUGCACAACUACAGUCGCAGAGCCGGUCCCGGCAGUGCCAAAACGGGCCCAGAGACUCCAGAACCCAAGCAGAGCAUCCCUGAGCACUUCCAGUACUCAGAUCCGGUCAUAUCCAAGGUUACAGACUACAUUUAUGUGGGGAACCUGAACGCGGCUUAUAGUGGACGUACGUUGUGCCGUAAUAACAUCGACAGCAUCAUCGACAUGAGCAGCCUACCCGGGGAGACUUGUUUGAGAGUCAUUCCUUGCACUUGUUCAAGGGGUGUAAAGCAUAGUUGGUCUCGGCUCAAAGUAGACAUGACCGACCUUCCGGACACUGUCCAAGAAGGGCUGGCACUCAAGCACCGCUGCUUUGAGGACAUCAAUGAGUGCAUCGAUGCCUCCACGGAGAAGAGGAAGCGAGUGUUAGUGCAUUGUCGUGAUGGUUUUUCCCUUGCCCCCACUUGCAUUAUUCAGUACCUCAUGGUAAAACAAAAUAUGAGGCUUAUAGCUGCCUACGAGCUGCUCCGAGCCAGACACCCUGUAAACAUUCGAGAUUCCCAUCAAAACGUUCUGGUAAGUCUGGAAAGAGCUCUGAGACCGGGUGGGAACACGAAUCCAGAGUGCUUUAAACAGGCCAUCUCCCGCAAAGUGGCUUGGACCUGAUAGCGAACCUUGGGGGGCCCCCCUUCCCUUCCCUUCCCUUCCCUUCCCUUCCCUUCCCUUCCCUUCCCUUCCCUUCCCCCUCCCUCCCCUCCCUCCCUCCCCUCCCC
This is a long non-coding RNA of Cyprinus carpio carpio, 1433 nucleotides long. Lineage: Eukaryota; Metazoa; Chordata; Actinopteri; Cypriniformes; Cyprinidae. The record is from Ensembl.